AAAGGAAUUGACGGGACCCCGCACAAGCGGUGGAUUAUGUUGUUUAAUUCGAAGAUACACGAAGAACCUUACCAGGUCUUGACAUCCUCUGCAAAGCUAUAGAGAUAUAGUGGAGGUUAACAGAGAGACAGGUGGUGCAUGGUUGUCGUCAGCUCGUGUCGUGAGAUGUUGGGUUAAGUCCCGCAACGAGCGCAACCCUUAUUGCUAGUUACCAUCAUUUAGUUGGGGACUCUAGCGAGACUGCCAGUGAUAAACUGGAGGAAGGUGGGGAUGACGUCAAAUCAUCAUGCCCUUUAUGACCUGGGCUACAAACGUAAUACAAUGGCUAUGACAAAGAGAUGCAAGACCGCGAGGUGGAGCAAAACUCACAAAGAUAGUCUCAGUUCGGAUUGAAGUCUGCAACUCGACUUCAUGAAGUUGGAAUCGCUAGUAAUCGCAAAUCAGAAAGUUGCGGUGAAUACGUUCUCGGGGUUUGCACACACCGCCCGU
RNAcentral lists this ribosomal RNA (489 nucleotides) under uncultured bacterium. RNAcentral's name for it is "bacterial SSU rRNA". It matches the Rfam family "Bacterial small subunit ribosomal RNA", at positions 903 to 1397 of the family's 1533-position model. The record is from RNAcentral.